This 497-nucleotide ribosomal RNA is filed under the name uncultured bacterium. RNAcentral describes it as "partial 16S ribosomal RNA". It matches the Rfam family "Bacterial small subunit ribosomal RNA", at positions 28 to 507 of the family's 1533-position model. The record is from RNAcentral.
GACGAACGCUGGCGGCGUGCCUAAUACAUGCAAGUAGAACGCUGAAGAGAGGAGCUUGCUCUUCUUGGAUGAGUUGCGAACGGGUGAGUAACGCGUAGGUAACCUGCCUUGUAGCGGGGGAUAACUAUUGGAAACGAUAGCUAAUACCGCAUAACAACGGAUGACCCAUGUCAUUUAUUUGAAAGGGGCAAAUGCUCCACUACAAGAUGGACCUGCGUUGUAUUAGCUAGUAGGUGAGGUAACGGCUCACCUAGGCGACGAUACAUAGCCGACCUGAGAGGGUGAUCGGCCACACUGGGACUGAGACACGGCCCAGACUCCUACGGGAGGCAGCAGUAGGGAAUCUUCGGCAAUGGGGGCAAGCCUGACCGAGCAACGCCGCGUGAGUGAAGAAGGUUUUCGGAUCGUAAAGCUCUGUUGUAAGUCAAGAACGAGUGUGAGAGUGGAAAGUUCACACUGUGACGGUAGCUUACCAGAAAGGGACGGCUAGCUACGUG